This is a long non-coding RNA of Bos indicus x Bos taurus (hybrid cattle), 511 nucleotides long. The record is from Ensembl. Lineage: Eukaryota; Metazoa; Chordata; Mammalia; Artiodactyla; Bovidae.
CCCUCUGGUUGUAACACAGAAGCUUUUUGAGUAACAUAUUCUUUUUUCUCUUUUUAAUACAAAUCCAGCCUGGCAGGCACAGUGCUAUGUGGAGACUGGACUGAAUCAAAGCAACAUUCUCCUACUUUUCCCGUGUAUAGGAAGUGAUACUAACAAGAAUCAGAUUUGCCUGGACCCGUAACAGAGGAAACAACUUCUGGCACAGUAAUUCUUUGAACUGGAACCAUGAGGAUUCUGACAACUUUUAUUCCAUGGAACUGUAAAGGAUCUUGUACCUGCAUAGAUGGCAUAAAAACAGUCCUGAGUUCCCAGGUGGCAAACAAUACCAACUUUUCUUCCUCAUGAUGAUUUCCAGAAGUGAACUAAGGAAAUCCAGAACAUACUGCCUUCUUAGGAAACAUGAUGCCAGAGUUACUAGAAAAAAGAUGAAAAGCAAGUCAAAGUGAUUAUUUGAUGUCAUGUAAAAAACGUUGUCCUGAGUUUAUUACAACCUUUAACAAUUGAAUAUGGC